This 495-nucleotide ribosomal RNA is filed under the name uncultured bacterium. RNAcentral describes it as "partial 16S ribosomal RNA". It matches the Rfam family "Bacterial small subunit ribosomal RNA", at positions 30 to 507 of the family's 1533-position model. The record is from RNAcentral.
CGACCGCUGGCGGCGUGCCUACUACAUGCACGUAGAACGCUGAAGAGAGGAGCUUGCUCUUCUUGGAUGAGUUGCGAACGGGUGAGUAACGCGUAGGUAACCUGCCUUGUAGCGGGGGAUAACUAUUGGAAACGAUAGCUAAUACCGCAUAACAAUGGAUGACACAUGUCAUUUAUUUGAAAGGGGCAAUUGCUCCACUACAAGAUGGACCUGCGUUGUAUUAGCUAGUAGGUGAGGUAAUGGCUCACCUAGGCGACGAUACAUAGCCGACCUGAGAGGGUGAUCGGCCACACUGGGACUGAGACACGGCCCAGACUCCUACGGGAGGCAGCAGUAGGGAAUCUUCGGCAAUGGGGGCAACCCUGACCGAGCAACGCCGCGUGAGUGAAGAAGGGUUUCGGAUCGUAAAGCUCGGUUGUAAGUCAAGAACGGGUGUGAGAGUGGAAAGUUCACACUGUGACGGUAGCUUACCAGAAAGGGACGGCUAACUACGUG